GAUGAACGCUGGCGGCGUGCCUAACACAUGCAAGUCGAACGGAGUUAUUAUUAUGAAGUUUUCGGAUGGAUUAAUAAUAACUUAGUGGCGGACGGGUAAGUAACGCGUGGGUAACCUGCCUCAUACAGGGGGAUAACAGUUGGAAACGGCUGCUAACACCGCAUAACAUUGCGAUGUCGCAUGACAAUGCAAUUAAAUAUUUAUAGGUAUGAGAUGGGCCCGCGUCUGAUUAGCUAGUUGGUGGGGUAAUGGCCUACCAAGGCGACGAUCAGUAGCCGGCUUGAGAGAGUGACCGGCCACAUUGGGACUGAGACACGGCCCAAACUCCUACGGGAGGCAGCAGUGGGGAAUAUUGCACAAUGGGGGAAACCCUGAUGCAGCGACGCCGCGUGAGUGAAGAAGUAUUUCGGUAUGUAAAGCUCUAUCAGCAGGGAAGAAAAUGACGGUACCUGACUAAGAAGCCCCGGCUAACUACGUGCCAGCCGCCGCAGUAA
RNAcentral lists this ribosomal RNA (494 nucleotides) under uncultured bacterium. RNAcentral describes it as "partial 16S ribosomal RNA". It matches the Rfam family "Bacterial small subunit ribosomal RNA", at positions 28 to 523 of the family's 1533-position model. The record is from RNAcentral.